This 360-nucleotide transfer-messenger RNA is filed under the name Lactococcus hircilactis. RNAcentral describes it as "Standard tmRNA". It matches the Rfam family "transfer-messenger RNA". Rfam says of the family: Bacterial tmRNA, also known as 10Sa RNA or SsrA, is named for its dual tRNA and mRNA-like properties. Its role is to liberate the mRNA from a stalled ribosome. The record is from Rfam by way of RNAcentral. Lineage: Bacteria; Bacillati; Bacillota; Bacilli; Lactobacillales; Streptococcaceae.
GGGGCUGUUACGGAUUCGACAGGCACUGCCUGCUCAUGAACUGCAACUGCUGCUGGCACCAGCGAAAUCUGCCGCAGAAAUAUAACUGCAAAAAAUAAUACACAAACUUUCGCAUACGCUGCCUAAACACCAGCCUGCGUGCCUGAUUAUUGCUUUCUGAUGACAAUUUGACGGUCUAAACUUUUAAUCAGAUACAAUGUUAUGUCGUCUUAGCCUAACAUAAGAGAAUCAUGAGAAUCGCAAAGGAGUGCUGUUUGACGCUUUCUUUAUUCCUUUGUUAAAUUUGAGAAAGUGCUAUGGUUGUAGAUGUUGAUGUAGCAAGGUGUUUGGACAGGGGUUCAAUUCCCCUCAGCUCCAUUG